Molecule: ribosomal RNA, 506 nt
Filed under: uncultured bacterium
Lineage: Bacteria
Description: bacterial SSU rRNA
Rfam family: Bacterial small subunit ribosomal RNA
Source: RNAcentral
GAUGAACGCUAGCGACAGGCCUAACACAUGCAAGUCGAGGGGCAUCGGGGUGUAGCAAUACGCUGCCGGCGACCGGCGGAUGGGUGAGUAACGCGUAUGCAACCUGCCUUCAGCAGGGGGAUAGCCCGUUGAAAGACGGAUUAAUACCCCGUAACACAGGGGCUCCGCAUGGAGAUUAUUGUUAAAGGGAUGCUUCCUUCGGGGAGUAUUCUGGCUGAAGAUGGGCAUGCGUUCCAUUAGGUAGUUGGUUGAGGUAACGGCUCACCAAGCCUGCGAUGGAUAGGGGAACUGAGAGGUUGGUCCCCCACACUGGUACUGAGACACGGACCAGACUCCUACGGGAGGCAGCAGUGAGGAAUCUUGGUCAAUGGACGGAAGUCUGAACCAGCCAUGUCGCGUGAAGGAGGACGGCCCUAAGGGUUGUAAACUUCUUUUGCAGGGGAAUAAAGUAUUCCACGAGAUGGGAUAUUGCAAGUACGCUGCGAAUAAGGAUCGGGCUAACUCCG